RNAcentral lists this ribosomal RNA (468 nucleotides) under uncultured bacterium. Its description in RNAcentral is "partial 16S ribosomal RNA". It matches the Rfam family "Bacterial small subunit ribosomal RNA", at positions 28 to 507 of the family's 1533-position model. The record is from RNAcentral.
GACGAACGCUGGCGGCGUGCUUAACACAUGCAAGUCGAACGGAAAGGCCCUGCUUUCGUGGGGUGCUCGAGUGGCGAACGGGUGAGUAACACGUGAGUAACCUGCCCUGGACUUUGGGAUAACUUCAGGAAACUGGGGCUAAUACCGGCUAGGAGCUCCUGCUGCAUGGUGGGGGUUGGAAAGUUUCGGCGGAGGGGGAUGGAUGCUCGGCUUAUCAGCUUGUUGGUCGAGGAGCGGCCUACCGAGUGAUUGGCGGGUAGCCGGCACGAGAGGGUGAACGCCCUCAUGGGGACUGAGAGACGGAGCAGUCUGCUACAGGAGGCAGUAGGCGGGAAUCUUGCACAGUGGUGCGAAGCGUGUUGCAGCGACGCUCCGAUCGGGAUGACCGCCUUCUUGUUGUGAACCGCUUUCACCUGUUACGAUGCUUGAGUGACGUUAAUGGGUAAAGAAGCACCGGCUAACUACGUG